UCAAGCAGGGAAACCUUUCAAAUUUAGACCUGAG
RNAcentral lists this ribosomal RNA (34 nucleotides) under Asterochloris sp. 104. RNAcentral describes it as "partial 28S ribosomal RNA". Lineage: Eukaryota; Viridiplantae; Chlorophyta; Trebouxiophyceae; Trebouxiales; Trebouxiaceae. The record is from RNAcentral.